This is a non-coding RNA of Mycobacterium intermedium, 70 nucleotides long. The record is from Rfam. Lineage: Bacteria; Bacillati; Actinomycetota; Actinomycetes; Mycobacteriales; Mycobacteriaceae.
GAGAGCCCGGUGCAUUGAAAGGUGCACGCCGGGUUCGGGAAGCGGCCCGGGAAAACGGAACAACCCCAAC